This is a non-coding RNA of Pelobates cultripes (western spadefoot toad), 267 nucleotides long. The record is from the annotation of a GenBank genome assembly. NCBI's taxonomy places the organism in Eukaryota, Metazoa, Chordata, Amphibia, Anura, Pelobatidae.
CAUGUUUACUAUUUAACAUUCUUAUGUCUGGUACCUUUCAAUUUUCAUCUUUAUUUGAGGAGUGGUACCUUUGAAUUUUAACUUAGUGUUGUGCUUUCAGUAUUGUGACAUUUCACAUACAUUCUUUCAUUCAUACAUUCAAUACAUAAUUCGUUUUCAUGUGACUAUAAACCCAUUACCUUAGCAGUUUUCUAUACUGCCGUUACAGCCUAACAAACGGUUUCUCUCUUGCGGCCGGACUCCCGCUCAGCCGCACAUGCGCGUCUC